AUUGAACGCUGGCGGCAUGCCUUACACAUGCAAGUCGAACGGUAACAGGUCUUCGGAUGCUGACGAGUGGCGAACGGGUGAGUAAUACAUCGGAACGUGCCCGAUCGUGGGGGAUAACGAGGCGAAAGCUUUGCUAAUACCGCAUACGAUCUACGGAUGAAAGCGGGGGAUCUUCGGACCUCGCGCGGACGGAGCGGCCGGUGGCAGAUUAGGUAGUUGGUGGGAUAAAAGCUUACCAAGCCGACGAUCUGUAGCUGGUCUGAGAGGAUGAUCAGCCACACUGGGACUGAGACACGGCCCAGACUCCUGCGGGAGGCAGCAGUGGGGAAUUUUGGACAAUGGGCGAAAGCCUGGUCCAGCCAUGCCGCGUGCAGGAUGAAGGCCUUCGGGUUGUAAACUGCUUUUGUACGGAACGAAAAGCCUCUUUCUAAUAAAGAGGGGUCAUGACGGUACCGUAAGAAUAAGCACCGGCUAACUACGUG
This 482-nucleotide ribosomal RNA is filed under the name uncultured bacterium. Its description in RNAcentral is "partial 16S ribosomal RNA". It matches the Rfam family "Bacterial small subunit ribosomal RNA", at positions 30 to 507 of the family's 1533-position model. The record is from RNAcentral.